RNAcentral lists this ribosomal RNA (253 nucleotides) under uncultured bacterium. RNAcentral describes it as "partial 16S ribosomal RNA". It matches the Rfam family "Bacterial small subunit ribosomal RNA", at positions 524 to 776 of the family's 1533-position model. The record is from RNAcentral.
UACGUAGGGGGCAAGCGUUGUCCGGAAUCAUUGGGCGUAAAGCGCGUGUAGGCGGCUCGAUAAGUCUGCUGUGAAAGUUCAGGGCUCAACCCUGAAAUGCCGGUGGAAACUGUCGAGCUAGAGUCCGGAAGAGGCGAGUGGAAUUCCUGGUGUAGCGGUGAAAUGCGUAGAGAUGUGGAGGAACACCAGUGGCGAAGGCGACUUUCUGGGCUGUAACUGACGCUGAGGCGCGAAAGCCAGGGGAGCAAACGGG